GCCGAGAUAGCUCAGGGGUAGAGCGCUUCCUUGGUAAGGAAGAGGUCGGGGGUUCAAAUCCCCUUCUUGGCU
This 72-nucleotide transfer RNA is filed under the name Fulvivirga imtechensis AK7. It matches the Rfam family "tRNA". From Rfam's summary of the family: Transfer RNA (tRNA) molecules are approximately 80 nucleotides in length. RNAcentral also lists the same sequence under 8 other names. Lineage: Bacteria; Pseudomonadati; Bacteroidota; Cytophagia; Cytophagales; Fulvivirgaceae. The record is from Rfam by way of RNAcentral.